GAAGACAUGAUCCGUGCAUGAUCACCGGACAAGGAGUAAGGCCGCUACAGAGCAGCGGUAAGCUAGGAUGUGGUGGAUUGCAGAGGACUUGCCGGUAACGACAAAAGCCAUCUCCUUGCAGUCCACAAUGCUUGUAGUGUUCCUCGCAGUCGUGCAUGCUGAUGACCCCGUGGUGUAAGCUGACUGGUAUAUGAGAUUUUCCAUGUCCUUGCCCGCCUCCUGGCCAGCUUUCUGCUUGAGUGCUUGAGCACGACUCCUCCAUAUCAACCAGCUUGUGAUAGCCAAGAUAAUGCAGCCGAAGCCCAGCAAAGCAAUGGCUACGGCCGACGCAAGCAUGACGGCUACGCAGCGCUGUCGGCAUCACACGCAACAGCUCGGAUAUGCCAGGUGAACUACUGCCUACGGAGAGGGACAGGCUGCUUGGGAAGCCUUGCAGCUCCUGUAAUGAAGGGCUUGAAGGUGCUGCUGCUGUAACUGCCAAGUAAUACCGUUCAAGAUGGUUGGAAGCGUGUACAAUGUUAAUGUCAUGCAAGUUGUAUAAGCUUAAUGCAUUGAUGCAGAGGUGCAGUCGUGUAAACCUUCUUUUCUCGAGACGCAGUCAAAGUAUAGUGGAAUAACACUGUGUGACUAUUUCCACUACUGAAGGUGCAGUGUGUGCUUGUAAACUAUUAAUCGUAUUUCAGUCGUAGAUGACCUCGUUUGGUAGUUAGGGAGCUAUCGCCAAAUUGCUUGAUUAAUGGUGCGUCAGAAACAGGCUUGCGUGCAAUAUACUAUUUCAUCAGAUCUACGCAGCCGAGCGUUCCCUACGGCCAGGAACACCGAUUGCGGAAGGAAGGUUGGGCGCGAGUCUUCUGGCGUCCCAGUAGAUUUGCGAGAAGAAAGCCGUGGAAAUCAUGUAAGGCCCCUUUUUUAUAUUUCCUCUAUGAUAAACAGGCAACAACAUACAACAUUGCAAAUCUUGGCUUAAACGGACACCAAAACUUUCCGCGUGGCCAGUUUCUCGUUUCCCGAAUAAUCAACGGUUUCCAGAUCGCUUACCUCACAUUUCCGAGGUUACAUGAAGUGUGAAGCUCACCGGUACUCUGGGUGGCUAUUACGUACAGGUUGAGUAAAAUCUGCCUAUGAAAGCUCUACGAAGUGCUACCGCCAACCCUAUACUACUGACGUUCCGGAGCACGCUACUUGGGUGGCCCUGUUUCGGGCAUUUGUUGAUCACAACUCAUGUGGUGGAUGAAUUAGGCUUUAUGGGCACUUAGGUGUCCAUAGCUUGCCUACCUGGGGAGGGGACAAGGCAGAACUGCGCCGUAUACCAGAAAGAGGAAGUAAGGAUAGCAGCAGCAACAACACGUUGGACAUAUGUUGACGGAUGCCUACAAGCAACUUGGUUCGCCGAGAAGAAUAAAGAAGGGGAACUCACCUUCUCGCCUAGGAUUUGGUUCGAAUUGCACGCUAGAUCUGUUUGUUGUCUA
Molecule: long non-coding RNA, 1469 nt
Filed under: Volvox carteri
Lineage: Eukaryota; Viridiplantae; Chlorophyta; Chlorophyceae; Chlamydomonadales; Volvocaceae
Description: long non-coding RNA (VCAR_LNC000474)
Source: RNAcentral